CUUCGGCUACUGCUGAGAUCAUCAUCAUGGCAUCCUCCUCCUCAUCACGCGGACCCAAUCGGCAGUCUCCCCUUUUGACCUUAGCAUAUAGGAGUAUACUACAUGCAUGUAGUAUGUACUCCCCUUCGUGAUACUGUUGACUUUUUCCAUUCACUGUUCGUCUUACAAAUAUUUUUCAAAUAGAUAGACCUACGGGUUCAAUCUAUC
This 207-nucleotide long non-coding RNA is filed under the name Setaria italica (foxtail millet). RNAcentral's name for it is "long non-coding RNA (SITA_LNC000833)". The record is from RNAcentral. Lineage: Eukaryota; Viridiplantae; Streptophyta; Magnoliopsida; Poales; Poaceae.